Molecule: ribosomal RNA, 273 nt
Filed under: Pycnococcus provasolii
Lineage: Eukaryota; Viridiplantae; Chlorophyta; Pseudoscourfieldiophyceae; Pseudoscourfieldiales; Pycnococcaceae
Description: partial Bacterial small subunit ribosomal RNA
Rfam family: Bacterial small subunit ribosomal RNA
Source: RNAcentral
GGUGAGGUAACGGCUCACCAAGGCGACGACGGGUAGCCGGCCUGAGAGGGCGACCGGCCACACUGGGACUGAGACACGGCCCAGACUCCUACGGGAGGCAGCAGUGGGGAAUAUUGCGCAAUGGGCGAAAGCCUGACGCAGCGACGCCGCGUGAGGGAUGACGGCCUUCGGGUUGUAAACCUCUUUCAGCAGGGACGAAGCGCAAGUGACGGUACCUGCAGAAGAAGCACCGGCCAACUACGUGCCAGCAGCCGCGGUAAUACGUAGGGUGCA